CGGAAUGUGGAAGAGUGGCGAACGGGUGAGGAACACGUAAGAAUCUGCCCCUCGGUCGGGGACAACUCUUGGAAACGAGAGCUAAUACCCGAUACGCUGUGGAGUGAAAGAAUUUCGCCGAGGGAUGAUCUUGCGUCUGAUUAGCUAGUUGGUGUGGUAAUGGCCUACCAAGGCAACGACGGGUAGCUGGUCUGAGAGGAUGAUCAGCCACACUGGGACUGAGACACGGCCCAGACUCC
RNAcentral lists this ribosomal RNA (239 nucleotides) under uncultured bacterium. Its description in RNAcentral is "partial 16S ribosomal RNA". It matches the Rfam family "Bacterial small subunit ribosomal RNA", at positions 81 to 339 of the family's 1533-position model. The record is from RNAcentral.